Molecule: transfer RNA, 71 nt
Filed under: Loxodonta africana (African savanna elephant)
Lineage: Eukaryota; Metazoa; Chordata; Mammalia; Proboscidea; Elephantidae
Rfam family: tRNA
About the family: Transfer RNA (tRNA) molecules are approximately 80 nucleotides in length. Their secondary structure includes four short double-helical elements and three loops (D, anti-codon, and T loops).
Source: Rfam by way of RNAcentral
GCCUAGUGGCUCAGUGGUUAAGCAUUUGGCUGUUAAAUAAAAGGUUGGUGGUUUGAGCCCACCCAGAGGUU